UAAACAUCCCAAAGAUGCACAGAUGGGCUACAAACACCUGCAAUUAAUUAUUCGCUUCUACAAAUAUUCCAGCACAACCCUUUUGUCAUGUUCUGGAAAGACUCGCAAACAAAACAUUGAAACAUUUGCACCGUCUGCGUUGCUGAUUCUGCCUUCUUUCUUUAACCCGCAACCUCCCGUAGUGUAAAAUCCAAACAUAGUCAGACGUCUUUUUCGCUCUUAUAUUUCAGUUUAUGCUUUCUUUGCUGUUUGCAGUAAGCUCAUAGCUGCCAGGGAAAUUGGCUUCAUUAAUGGUAGACUGUUUACCUAAUGAAUCAGACUCUUGCUUUAGGUGCAGCCUGUGGUGCAGUGACGGUUUCUUGGCCCUUCACAGGGGCUGGUUGGUUUUGUCAAGUACAGCUGUGGAGUUUGUCAUUGUAGAAGCCCAAUGGUCCCGGCGAGGCCUUCGCCAACUUUCGGUUCCCAAGGUAGUCCUGCUGUAAUUGUGGACCCGCCAUCCCCCUGUGGAUUACAGGAUUUCUGCCAGUUUACCUCCUGGGAUGAUGGUACUCUGUGGGGAAAAAAGGAGAAAUGAAAGUUGAACAUCAGCUUUAUUGCUAUCUAGCAUGCGCCAUUCUUCAGGAGCAGGACAUUUUAUAUUAACAUCUCUCAGUGAGGAGGAAUUGUGAGAGAGGAAAGAUAAUCUUCGCCGGUGGCAAAGUGCCCAGGCUUCGUGGGAAGUCCACACUCCAUUCCCUGACAUCUGCCAGCGAGGGCCUUCAGCGACACCUCACUGUCUCUAGAAGUAAACGCUUUCCAAGAACACAGUAAGAAAUAUAUGUGCAGUCGUUCCUUUAAGGAGCUAUAUCUACAUGAUGUGGGGCUUGAAAACUAUCUUUGUUAGUGUGACACAAUGUAUUCAGGUUGAUCCAGUAAUAUUAAAUAUGAACUACACUGUGAUGAUUUUUCUAAGUUGUAAACAAAGAUUACUGGAGUAUGUUUUACAAAAAAAAUAAAAAAAAUACUAUUUCAGUCUUUCUACUUCAA
This is a long non-coding RNA of Cyprinus carpio carpio, 1026 nucleotides long. The record is from Ensembl. Lineage: Eukaryota; Metazoa; Chordata; Actinopteri; Cypriniformes; Cyprinidae.